This 253-nucleotide ribosomal RNA is filed under the name uncultured Phyllobacteriaceae bacterium. RNAcentral describes it as "partial 16S ribosomal RNA". It matches the Rfam family "Bacterial small subunit ribosomal RNA", at positions 524 to 776 of the family's 1533-position model. The record is from RNAcentral. Lineage: Bacteria; Pseudomonadati; Pseudomonadota; Alphaproteobacteria; Hyphomicrobiales; Phyllobacteriaceae.
UACGAAGGGGGCUAGCGUUGUUCGGAAUUACUGGGCGUAAAGCGCACGUAGGCGGAUCGGUCAGUUAGGGGUGAAAUCCCAGGGCUCAACCCUGGAACUGCCUCUAAUACUGCCGGUCUAGAGUUCGAGAGAGGUGAGUGGAAUUCCGAGUGUAGAGGUGAAAUUCGUAGAUAUUCGGAGGAACACCAGUGGCGAAGGCGGCUCACUGGCUCGAUACUGACGCUGAGGUGCGAAAGCGUGGGGAGCAAACAGG